Molecule: long non-coding RNA, 503 nt
Filed under: Mus spicilegus (steppe mouse)
Lineage: Eukaryota; Metazoa; Chordata; Mammalia; Rodentia; Muridae
Description: lncRNA (ENSMSIG00000014525.1)
Source: RNAcentral
GUAAAAUUUCUAUCACCUCUAAGAUCUAAAAUACUAUUUCAAAGAAACAAAACCCCUUUUAUUCUUUUUUAUUAUUCAGGUAUGAAUAAUGCAUGAUCGCUGCAGCGACCAGGGCAACAUCAACAACCAUAUCAGAUGAGCCCGUUGCUCAGACGGGGCCAGCUCUGAGAUCCCGAUACUUCCACAUCUUGACCUGUGACUACUUCUUUCCAGAGCAACGGGAUGUGUAGUUCCUUAUGUAACAAAUGUAAUCGGCCAAGGAUUUAUUAUUGUGAGGAAAUUUGGAGUUAUUGCUGGAUGGGAAGAGUGUGGUUGAGAAAUAUCAGAUGAGCAUCAGUGGACACUGGCUACUACUGGAAGCUGAAACGCCCGGGAAGCAAGAAAGACACACACUCCCCUGAGGCUCCCAGAGGAACACAGCCCUGCCUAUACCUUGACUUGAUAUGAAGCAAUCCAGUUUGUGUCAAUUGUUAUGGCAGCCUUAGGAAACCAACUCUAUGGCC